Molecule: ribosomal RNA, 761 nt
Filed under: Prevotella melaninogenica
Lineage: Bacteria; Pseudomonadati; Bacteroidota; Bacteroidia; Bacteroidales; Prevotellaceae
Description: bacterial SSU rRNA
Rfam family: Bacterial small subunit ribosomal RNA
Source: RNAcentral
GAUGAACGCUAGCUACAGGCUUAACACAUGCAAGUCGAGGGGAAACGGCAUUUAGUGCUUGCACUGAAUGGACGUCGACCGGCGCACGGGUGAGUAACGCGUAUCCAACCUUCCCAUUACUGUGGGAUAACCUGCCGAAAGGCAGACUAAUACCGCAUAGUCUUCGAUGACGGCAUCAGAUUUGAAGUAAAGAUUUAUCGGUAAUGGAUGGGGAUGCGUCUGAUUAGCUUGUUGGCGGGGUAACGGCCCACCAAGGCAACGAUCAGUAGGGGUUCUGAGAGGAAGGUCCCCCACAUUGGAACUGAGACACGGUCCAAACUCCUACGGGAGGCAGCAGUGAGGAAUAUUGGUCAAUGGACGAGAGUCUGAACCAGCCAAGUAGCGUGCAGGAUGACGGCCCUAUGGGUUGUAAACUGCUUUUGUAUGGGGAUAAAGUCAAUCACGUGUGAUUGUUUGCAGGUACCAUACGAAUAAGGACCGGCUAAUUCCGUGCCAGCAGCCGCGGUAAUACGGAAGGUCCGGGCGUUAUCCGGAUUUAUUGGGUUUAAAGGGAGCGUAGGCCGGAGAUUAAGUGUGUUGUGAAAUGUAGACGCUCAACGUCUGACUUGCAGCGCAUACUGGUUUCCUUGAGUACGCACAACGUUGGCGGAAUUCGUCGUGUAGCGGUGAAAUGCUUAGAUAUGACGAAGAACUCCGAUUGCGAAGGCAGCUGACGGGAGCGCAACUGACGCUAAAGCUCGAAGGUGCGGGUAUCGAACAGG